UCAGGUGGGACCACCGCGCUACUGCCGCCAGGCAAAUUCUGUUAUCAGACCGUUUUUACGUUCUGAUGUAAUCUGAAUCAGUGCUGAAAAUCGUCUCUCAUCCGCCAAAACAUCUUCGGCGUUGUAAGGUUAAGCCUCACGGUUCAUUAGUACCGGUUAGCUCAACGCAUCGCUGCGCUUACACACCCGGCCUAUCAACGUCGUCGUCUUCAACGUUCCUUCAGGAGACCUAAAGUCUCAGGGAGAACUCAUCUCGGGGCAAGUUUCGUGCUUAGAUGCUUUCAGCACUUAUCUCUUCCGCAUUUAGCUACCGGGCAGUGCCAUUGGCAUGACAACCCGAACACCAGUGAUGCGUCCACUCCGGUCCUCUCGUACUAGGAGCAGCCCCCCUCAGUUCUCCAGCGCCCACGGCAGAUAGGGACCGAACUGUCUCACGACGUUCUAAACCCAGCUCGCGUACCACUUUAAAUGGCGAACAGCCAUACCCUUGGGACCUACUUCAGCCCCAGGAUGUGAUGAGCCGACAUCGAGGUGCCAAACACCGCCGUCGAUAUGAACUCUUGGGCGGUAUCAGCCUGUUAUCCCCGGAGUACCUUUUAUCCGUUGAGCGAUGGCCCUUCCAUUCAGAACCACCGGAUCACUAUGACCUGCUUUCGCACCUGCUCGCGCCGUCACGCUCGCAGUCAAGCUGGCUUAUGCCAUUGCACUAACCUCCUGAUGUCCGACCAGGAUUAGCCAACCUUCGUGCUCCUCCGUUACUCUUUAGGAGGAGACCGCCCCAGUCAAACUACCCACCAGACACUGUCCGCAACCCGGGUAACGGGUCCACGUUAGAACAUCAAACAUUAAAGGGUGGUAUUUCAAGGUCGGCUCCAUGCAGACUGGCGUCCACACUUCAAAGCCUCCCACCUAUCCUACACAUCAAGGCUCAAUGUUCAGUGUCAAGCUAUAGUAAAGGUUCACGGGGUCUUUCCGUCUUGCCGCGGGUACACUGCAUCUUCACAGCGAGUUCAAUUUCACUGAGUCUCGGGUGGAGACAGCCUGGCCAUCAUUACGCCAUUCGUGCAGGUCGGAACUUACCCGACAAGGAAUUUCGCUACCUUAGGACCGUUAUAGUUACGGCCGCCGUUUACCGGGGCUUCGAUCAGGAGCUUCGCUUGCGCUGACCCCAUCAAUUAACCUUCCGGCACCGGGCAGGCGUCACACCGUAUACGUCCACUUUCGUGUUUGCACAGUGCUGUGUUUUUAAUAAACAGUUGCAGCCAGCUGGUAUCUUCGACUGACUUCAGCUCCAUGAGUAAAUCACUUCACCUACGUGUCAGCGUGCCUUCUCCCGAAGUUACGGCACCAUUUUGCCUAGUUCCUUCACCCGAGUUCUCUCAAGCGCCUUGGUAUUCUCUACCUGACCACCUGUGUCGGUUUGGGGUACGAUUUGAUGUUACCUGAUGCUUAGAGGCUUUUCCUGGAAGCAGGGCAUUUGUUGCUUCAGCACCGUAGUGCCUCGUCGUCACGCCUCAGUGUUAAAGUGAACCGGAUUUACCUGGAACACACACCUACACGCUUAAACCGGGACAACCGUCGCCCGGCCAACAUAGCCUUCUCCGUCCCCCCNNNNNNNNNNNNNNNNNNNNCCCCCCUUCGCAGUAACACCAAGUACGGGAAUAUUAACCCGUUUCCCAUCGACUACGCCUUUCGGCCUCGCCUUAGGGGUCGACUCACCCUGCCCCGAUUAACGUUGGACAGGAACCCUUGGUCUUCCGGCGAGCGGGCUUUUCACCCGCUUUAUCGUUACUUAUGUCAGCAUUCGCACUUCUGAUACCUCCAGCAACCCUCACAGGCCACCUUCACAGGCUUACAGAACGCUCCCCUACCCAACAACACCUGAGUGUCGCUGCCGCAGCUUCGGUGCAUGGUUUAGCCCCGUUACAUCUUCCGCGCAGGCCGACUCGACCAGUGAGCUAUUACGCUUUCUUUAAAUGAUGGCUGCUUCUAAGCCAACAUCCUGGCUGUCUGGGCCUUCCCACAUCGUUUCCCACUUAACCAUGACUUUGGGACCUUAGCUGGCGGUCUGGGUUGUUUCCCUCUUCACGACGGACGUUAGCACCCGCCGUGUGUCUCCCGUGAUAACAUUCUCCGGUAUUCGCAGUUUGCAUCGGGUUGGUAAGCCGGGAUGGCCCCCUAGCCGAAACAGUGCUCUACCCCCGGAGAUGAAUUCACGAGGCGCUACCUAAAUAGCUUUCGGGGAGAACCAGCUAUCUCCCGGUUUGAUUGGCCUUUCACCCCCAGCCACAGGUCAUCCGCUAAUUUUUCAACAUUAGUCGGUUCGGUCCUCCAGUUAGUGUUACCCAACCUUCAACCUGCCCAUGGCUAGAUCACCGGGUUUCGGGUCUAUACCCUGCAACUUAACGCCCGGUUAAGACUCGGUUUCCCUCCGGCUCCCCUAUACGGUUAACCUUGCUACAGAAUAUAAGUCGCUGACCCAUUAUACAAAAGGUACGCAGUCACACAGGUAAACCUGUGCUCCCACUGCUUGUACGUACACGGUUUCAGGUUCUUUUUCACUCCCCUCGCCGGGGUUCUUUUCGCCUUUCCCUCACGGUACUGGUUCACUAUCGGUCAGUCAGGAGUAUUUAGCCUUGGAGGAUGGUCCCCCCAUAUUCAGACAGGAUACCACGUGUCCCGCCCUACUCAUCGAGCUCACAGCACAUGCGCUUUUGUGUACGGGGCUGUCACCCUGUAUCGCGCGCCUUUCCAGACGCUUCCACUAACACACAUGCUGAUUCAGGCUCUGGGCUCCUCCCCGUUCGCUCGCCGCUACUGGGGGAAUCUCGGUUGAUUUCUUUUCCUCGGGGUACUUAGAUGUUUCAGUUCCCCCGGUUCGCCUCAUUAACCUAUGGAUUCAGUUAAUGAUAGUGUGACGAAUCACACUGGGUUUCCCCAUUCGGAAAUCGCCGGUUAUAACGGUUCAUAUCACCUUACCGGCGCUUAUCGCAGAUUAGCACGUCCUUCAUCGCCUCUGACUGCCAGGGCAUCCACCGUGUACGCUUAGUCGCUUAACCUCACAACCCGAAGAUGUUUCUUACGAUUCAUCAUCGUGUUGCGAAAAUUUGAGAGACUCACGAACAACUUUCGUUGUUCUGUGUUUCAAUUUUCAGCUUGAUCCAGAUUUUUAAAGAGCAAA
Molecule: ribosomal RNA, 3181 nt
Filed under: Salmonella enterica subsp. enterica serovar Paratyphi A
Lineage: Bacteria; Pseudomonadati; Pseudomonadota; Gammaproteobacteria; Enterobacterales; Enterobacteriaceae
Description: 23S ribosomal RNA
Source: RNAcentral